CUGGACAGGAUAAGUGCGCGGCAGGUCACUAUUUGUGUCAUCCUCUCCAGAUGUGGAAGUCUCUAAAGAUGUCUUUUUUAAAAUUCUCCAUCAUGACCACCUCUACCAUCAUUGUUAGCAUCACAACUUCCAUCAGCAGCAAGAUUUAAAGAUAGACGAAAAGGGGAAAGCACUGGAGUCCUCACAUGGGAGCAGCUGUGCUGCCUAAUCCACUUUCAUCUGACAGAAUCUGCUAAAGAACUCUUUGGAAACGCCUUUAUGCCUUCAAACGCAAGCUUUUAAAUCCAUGGACCUAAAGGCAGGAAAAUAAAAAAAAAAAGCCAACCACUGGCUCUUGCUAGCAGACAGAUUUUAAAGUAAAAGCACGGCUGGACAGGGCAAGGGUUGUAUGGGUGCCAAAUCCCCAUCUAAGACCUACCACAUCUCAACCUACAGCCUCCUCCUCCCUCCUCCACCUCCUCCCUCCUCCUCUUUCUCCUCAUUCUCCACUUGUCUCUCCCAUGGGAGUGACAUAGAGGCCACUGCUUGGUCUUCUGCGCCUCAUCUCCACCUCACCGUGGAAACGGGGAUGUCCAGGUAGUGAUGUCGUGGAAGAGGAACUACUUUGCGUCGGGCGGCGGAGCAGCCCAGGGGCUGGUGACCCCGAGAACCAUGACUUCUAUCGCACCCAGCAAGGGCCUGAGCAACGAGCCGGGACAGAACAGCUGCUUCCUCAACAGCGCUCUGCAGGUUUUAUGGCACCUUGACAUCUUCCGUAGGAGCUUUCGACAGCUGACCACUCACAAGUGCAUGGAGGACUCCUGCAUCUUCUGUGCUUUAAAGAGUAUCUUCGCUCAGUUCCAGUUCAGCAGCGAGCGCGUUCUACCAUCCGACGCGCUGCGGAGCGCUCUGGCCAAGACUUUUCAAGACGAGCAGCGCUUCCAGCUGGGCAUCAUGGACGAUGCCGCUGAAUGCUUCGAGAACCUCCUGAUGCGCAUCCACUUCCACAUCAGCACGGAGAGCAGAGAGGACAUCUGCACCGCCAAGCACUGCAUACCACACCAGAAGUUUGCCAUGACUCUGUUUGAGCAGGUAGGUAGGAGGCUUCAGAGAGCCCCGCCCCCCGCACGGCCCGCGAUGAGGCUAAGCGACUCGUUUUGUUUGCAGUGCGUGUGUAACAGCUGUGGAGCAACGUCGGACCCCCUCCCCUUCAUUCAGAUGGUUCAUUACAUCUCCACCACAUCCUUAUGUAACCAGGCGGUGAGGAUGCUGGAGUGCAGAGAGAAACCCACGCCGGACAUGUUCGGGGAGCUCCUGCGCAACGCCAGCAACAUGGGGGACCUGCGCAACUGUCCUAGUAACUGUGGAGAGGUGUUGCGUAUCCGCCGGGUCCUCAUGAACUCGCCGGAGAUUGUGUCCAUCGGGCUGGUGUGGGACUCCGACCACUCUGACCUGGCAGAGGACGUCAUCCACAGCCUGGGAACCUGCCUGCGACUGGGAGAUUUGUUCUACCGUGUGACAGAGGAGAGGGCUCGCCAGGCGGAGCUCUACUUGGUGGGAAUGGUGUGCUACUAUGGCAAGCACUACUCCACCUUCUUCUUCCAGACCAAGAUUCGCAAGUGGAUGUACUUCGACGACGCGCACGUCAAAGAGAUUGGCCCAAAGUGGAAGGACGUAGUGUCUCGCUGUAUCAAAGGCCAUUAUCAGCCCCUGCUGCUGCUCUACGCUGACCCCCGUGGGACGCCUGUGAUACUGCAGGAGAGCUCCAACCCGUGUAGCAGCUCCAACCCGCAGCUGGAGCUCCAGCACUGCAGCAGCAAAGCUGGUUACGACAGUGAAGACUCAGGUCGGGAGCCAUCUAUAUCCAGCGACACUCGCACCGACUCCUCCACGGACAGCUCCAGUCACCGCACCUCUCGCAGUCGACCCCUGCAUCAGUCCACCGGCAGCCACCUCUCCAGUGAGUCGCAGACCACAGUGGUCUGUAACUACGACAUCGGCACGCCGCCGCUUGGUGCUGACGCUGGAGAGUCAGCACUGGAGGGUCCUGCCCGCCCCCCUUCUGCCCCCCUGCAGGAGUACAAGGAGACGGCAGUGUUCCUCCUCUCCUCCCGCAGGCCUCUCACCUCUUCCUCCUCGUCUUCUCGGCCCCUGUCCUCCUCCUCUUCGUCGGGAGUCGGGGGCUGCGAGGGCGGGGUCGGGGGGCCUCACUGGGAGGAUGAAAGCACGAGCAGCGAGAGCAAGUCCAGUUCUUCUGGAGGCCGUUAUCGGCCAACUUGGAGGCCUCGAAGAGAGGCUCUGAACAUCGACAGCAUCUUCACUCAUCAAAGAGGCUCUUCUCUGGGCUACAACACCGUACCGGGCCAUCCAGCCCCUCCGGAGUCCCAGGACUCCGUCACCCUGGCGGGACCCGUUCUUCAACCUGGGCUACCAGACGUCAAAGGGAGGGAUAGCAGAGAGUUGAAGGUGGGGUUUGGGCUGGUCGGGCAGCCCAGGGCUCUGACCGGUCGGCGGACAAUGGGUCCCCCUGCUUCUCCACCUAUGAGAGGGGUGGAGCACCAGCCGCGACUGAUCCAGAGGAUGGAGAGUGGCUACGAAAGCAGCGAGAGAAACAGCAGCAGCCCUGACAGGGAGGUGGGCCAACAAAAGCCGGUGCUGAUGUCCGUACCAUCAUGGCGUUCAGUGCCCAAAUCUAAGAGCACCAACGCCAUCUUGCAGGAGCUGCCGUCACCCGGCUGGGGCGGAGCCGCCGUCAAAGCCUCAGGUCGCAGUGAACUCGACGAGCUCCAGGAGGAGGUCGCAAGAAGAGCCCGCCAGCAGGAGCAGCAGAAGCGGAAGGAGGCGGAGCGGGAAGCUGCUAUGGGAUUUAACCCCAAACCCAGCAAAUUCAUGGACCUGGACCAGCUUCAGCACCAGGCUGUGCUCAGACCCCUGCAUGAGGCUAACGCUCAUAGCGGAUUGGCUGUAGCUGCGUGCAUGAGGAGCACUGGGGGCCCAAUCAAACGCAGGCAGGAACAGGAAACGGAACGGGAGUCAGCAAGCGCCUGCCCACAGGGGCCAUGCAGUGAACAGCCUGACUCAGUCCAAGUACUGCUGACGCCCAGUCAGGAGGAGGAAGAGGAGCAGGCCACGCCCGGCCCGCACGCCGCUCCGGUCCAGGACCUGCCCCCUCCUCCGCCCUACCGACCUGCUUCCCCUCGAUCUGCGCUCACCCUCAACCUCACUCAUCCUUGUGGCCCUUCCAGCCAGGAGAAUGGGCAAGGGGGGUGCAUGAGGAGGAGAGGGGAGGAAGGUGAGGAUGGAAGGGAGGGGACUGGGGUGAGGUUGUGUGAGCUGCUGCAGGCUGGGGGGGUCAGCGUGAGACCCCUGGGGAAGCACUUAGCCAUCUCCCUCCCCUCUCUCCCUCUGCGUCUCUGGGACACCACACACACCUCACAACCUGCACACACUCCGACGCAGCCCUCAUCGCCGCCCUCGUCCCCCCCACCGCAACUCCCAGGGCAAAAGAAGCCUUUCACCCCGCUGUGGCAGCCCCCCCAGCCCCACUCCCCCGACGUCAGUGCUUGCCAACGGAAACACCACGCUGCCGCCACCGCAGAUAGCGCCGUGCGCCACUGGUCCUCCUGGAGCCUAGACCGCCCCGAUGCCGUGGUGACGCCGUACGACACGCCCCCCGACCGCUGUGUUCCCAUCAUGCCGCAGAACCACAGCUGCAGUUGUCAGUCUUGUCCGGGGCACCACAGCUCCCAGCAUGCCCAGGGGCAGCGCGCCGAUCCCUGCUGUGAACGCGAUGAGGCUGAACUGUCUGAGCUCGACUCCCUUUACCAGGCCAGCCUGCUGGCUGGAAAGACAGGCUGCAGCCCAUCAGAGAGGCUCAUUUUCAGAGUGGGGGGGCAGGCGCGCUCCAAGACCCCCAAUGCAGACAUGGAGAGGAGUGUGUACGGGGCAGACAGCACCCCCACCUACCUCAACAAGCCAAUGAAAUCAUGGGAUCCACACUUUGGGGCGGGGCCUGAUGAUGGGGAGCACCAGGGGCGAAUGGGACGCAGCCUGAGUGGGACAGUUGUGACCUCCCGCCACAAUCGCUUGACUGCAACCCGCAGUUUUGUGAAGCCGGCUGAUGCCAGUGCCUCUCCUUGCUUACUUCCUCUCUUCUGAGUCCCUGUUGCUAUUCCACUCCUCAUCACCUCCUCCAUCCUCCUCAUCACCAACACCUUCAUCAUCACUUCCCUUCACCGCUUUCAAGGAGCUGUCCGAAGGUGCAGGGAGUUUCUGGCUCUGUCUGACCGGAGUCAAGCUGCCUUCUGACCGGAAUCCGGCUCUCCUCCACUAACGUUUGUGACUCCACAUCCCGGCUGUGGAGCAGGCUCAGGAGGAUCAAAUCGAGGCCUGUCCUGUUCCUCCACAUGCAAUGACACACACACACACACACACACACCUGCACUGACGUAGAACCUCCCUCAGCGCCUGCAGCACCCUGCUUAGUCCCUUCUUGCCUUCCUCCCCUUCUUGUUGACCUCCUAUUCUGUCUAUGCAGUCAAUCUGACCCCGCCCCCUCCCGACAAAACCCGAAGCCCCUCCCUCUCCUCUUUAGUACUGUUUUUCGUCUCCCUGAGGGUUUCCCGGUCUGCUCCAAGCGAACUUGUCGCCCUCCUCGGGGGAGACUCUUACCAAGUAGCCACGCCUCUUCCUCUUUCUUCACGGGCAUUUAAUGUUGGAUGCACAUGUAGCUGAACUGAGUCUGUUUCAGAUCGACAGCCAUAUUUUUCUCUUUUCGUUCCGGGGGGGUUUGGUUGUGUUUCUUUCUUGUGUGUACGCACAGUAAAUCCACCCAGACUGAACUCUUAUUAGCUACAAGUCAUGUACAGAAAAAACAAACCCAUGUAUGAAAACCUGUAUGUUAAUUAAUAAGACCUUAUGGAAUGUUGAUAAUUAACAAAUAUUGAUAAACUAAAAGUGGUACUUCCUCGUGUCUGCAUUUUAACUAGGAGUGGAGUGCACUUCACAAGUGUCUAGCUGGAGUUUCCGUCCCCAAACCGCCUGCCAACCUAAUGACAGUUCUCCCGUUUCUACCGGGAGAUUAAAACAGAGAAGCGCUCGUGUUCCUGAUUUGACAUUUUCCUUUCUUUUGUAUCUAUCUGCCUGUCUUGCUUUAAUUUGUUCCAAAAAAAAAAGGUAUUUCUGAUGGAAUGUGAAGAAGUAGGUUUGGUUUUUCUUGUGGGAAGCAGAUGACUUAAGUGCACUUUGAGGGCGUAAGUGCACUCUGUGAGGGGACAGGACGAAUGGGUUUUACUCCAAGGCCUCAGGUGAACUUCAAACGAUGGGGGUUUAGAGAUUGUUUUAUGAAAAAUAAAAAAAGUAAAUAUGUUCAUAUUCAGCCCAUAUAUAUAAAUAUGCUUUAUAAUUGCGUAUUAGAGGUAUAUUUUCAGCCUAACUUCAGAGAUGUCAGACAUUUUUCAUUGGUAUAAAGAAAUCCUGCUCUGUGUGCAUUUAUAAUGAUGCAUUGUGACAUAACUAAGCCCAUGUAAAAACAGAGUUUUUCAUGACUUUACUGAUGGAUUGUUGUAACUAAACCAAAGGUUGGCUUGUUUUUCUUUUUUCAUUCCGAGGUCACGAUGUGUUCUUUGUUUUUUGGAUGUGAGAGAAUGUAGCCAAUUGUAGCGCAUGAGUCCGCUAUGCAAAUCAACCUUCCCUCACAAUCCUGCAUCAGAGACAGUCUGGUGGAAGACACACCCACUCUGGGCGCGCUCCGGGGACGACGCCGAGACGAGGAGGAAGCCUCGCGUUUUUAAAGCUGCUGGUGAACUUAAAAAAAGAAGAAGAAACAAAAAAAAAAGACACAAAAAAGGGAGAAGAAGAGCGAAUGAAUGUAAACCAAAGGACGAAACUGUGUGUUUGCGGAUGACGAGAUGGUCAGAGACCGGAGGUCAUUACACAGGUGGGAGGGGGGGUUUGUGGGUGUGUUUCGACUGAGUGUGUGCCAGUUUUCGGGGUGGUGUUGCUCGGGGAAAGAGGUAACCUGUAUUUUUGCAAUAAAGUUAUUACCAAUGCACUCCCACAGGGGGCGUAACCACA
Oryzias melastigma (Indian medaka) is the source of this 6054-nucleotide RNA transcript. It is a transcript of the gene named ubiquitin specific peptidase 54b, with no coding region annotated. The transcript has 20 exons. The record is from RefSeq and is a predicted model, not a curated record. Lineage: Eukaryota; Metazoa; Chordata; Actinopteri; Beloniformes; Adrianichthyidae.